CGUAGGUCCCGAGCGUUGUCCGGAUUUAUUGGGCGUAAAGCGAGCGCAGGUGGUUUAUUAAGUCUGGUGUAAAAGGCAGUGGCUCAACCAUUGUAUGCAUUGGAAACUGGUAGACUUGAGUGCAGGAGAGGAGAGUGGAAUUCCAUGUGUAGCGGUGAAAUGCGUAGAUAUAUGGAGGAACACCGGUGGCGAAAGCGGCUCUCUGGCCUGUAACUGACACUGAGGCUCGAAAGCGUGGGAGCAAACAGGAUU
This 252-nucleotide ribosomal RNA is filed under the name uncultured bacterium. RNAcentral's name for it is "partial 16S ribosomal RNA". It matches the Rfam family "Bacterial small subunit ribosomal RNA", at positions 526 to 779 of the family's 1533-position model. The record is from RNAcentral.